CGAAAUUCGCUGUACCCAAAUCAUAACAGUUCCCAAUUUCACCGGGUAACCUUUUUCAACCUUUAAUAUACACACACCCCAGCAUAAUUGCAAUUGAAACCUAACUCUUUCUCUUUCUUUUACUCUCACACACACGCACGCACAAAACAGAACUUUGAUUUGUUUCUUAGCUCUUGUGGCCUUCGGCACUGUGUAAAUUCCUGCGGAAAUUUACAAAUCUCUGCCCGUGUUACCAGUACCUGCAUAUAAAAGGGAGAAAGAGAAGCGUAUCGUUUGAAGUUUUAUCAUCUUUUGCUUGUUGGCUUUACUUUUUUGAUGGUCCAUAAACCCUAAUUGUUAUAUAUCUGGAGAUAUAGAAUGGAUCUUCUAUUUUAAGGACCUUUCUAGAUUUUGGAUAAGAAUUUCCUUUCGCGUAUGUGUGAGACUUGCUAUUUUCAGAUCUGAUUCAACCAAUGAUAUAUACUCUUAGUUCAUGCUAUGUUUAUAGGUUUUUUACCAUUUUGGGUGGCUAACUUUGGUUUCUAUUUGCUUGCACAUGAUAUUCUGAGUACAAUGAAAACUGACAGAAGAGAGUGAGCACACAGAGGCAAAUUGUAUAGGUUUAUACCAUUUCUUUUGCGUGCUCACUACUCUUUCUGUCAGAUUCUGGUGCCGGAAUUAUCAUUCUCCGGCAUAACUGCCCGGUUCCCAAAACAUCUCAGAUAAUCUUCAUAUAUAGUAUCAUUGUUUCGAUGAUCUUAUUAUUGGUUUUGUUCUAAUAUCUUGCAACUUUGACUGUAUUUUUAGGCACUUGAACGUUAUUGUUUAAACGUCUUUUGAUUAUAAAAUUGUGAAAAUAAUAUCGAUAGCGUGACUUUUGAUUACUCUUUUUGACAAGUUUAACCCUAAUCACUGAUCUUGCUAGAUUAACGGAGAUUUGCGGAUUUUAAGACCGUGACCUAAAUGGGACCUCAUAGAUAUAUAUUAAUAUAUAUCGGUAGGGUAAAGAGGAUGGUCCUCACUCCAUUCUUUUCAUCUUCUUUCAGGUUAUUGUUUAUGAUCUAUUUGCUUCUUUCAUGAUAUUUAAUUCGCACGCAUGCAAAGUGAAAGUGAAAUUAAUAUUGAUUCUGGUUCAGGUUCUUUUUGUUGGCUCUCCACUCUCCUUGCAUAUGGUUUUAUUUUUAGGCGUUGCUUCCAUUAUAUUUCAACUGAAUGUGGAAUUGUAUUCUUCACUACCAUUGAAUGUUGUCCUCAGACUAUUAUGUUUUCACA
Molecule: long non-coding RNA, 1251 nt
Filed under: Olea europaea subsp. europaea
Lineage: Eukaryota; Viridiplantae; Streptophyta; Magnoliopsida; Lamiales; Oleaceae
Rfam family: mir-156 microRNA precursor family (bases 560-642)
Source: RNAcentral